RNAcentral lists this ribosomal RNA (473 nucleotides) under uncultured bacterium. RNAcentral describes it as "bacterial SSU rRNA". It matches the Rfam family "Bacterial small subunit ribosomal RNA", at positions 30 to 521 of the family's 1533-position model. The record is from RNAcentral.
AUUAAACGCUGGCGGCAUGCCUUACACAUGCAAGUCGAACGGUAGCGCGGGGCAACCUGGCGACGAGUGGCGAACGGGUGAGUAAAGCAUCGGAACGUGCCCUGGAAUGGGGGAUAACGUAGCGAAAGUUACGCUAAUACCGCAUAUUCUGUGAGCAGGAAAGCAGGGGAUCGCAAGACCUUGCGUUCUGGGAGCGGCCGAUGUCGGAUUAGCUAGUUGGUGGGGUAAAAGCCUACCAAGGCGACGAUCCGUAGCGGGUCUGAGAGGAUGAUCCGCCACACUGGGACUGAGACACGGCCCAGACUCCUACGGGAGGCAGCAGUGGGGAAUAUUGGACAAUGGGCGAAAGCCUGAUCCAGCCAUGCCGCGUGAGUGAUGAAGGCCUUAGGGUUGUAAAGCUCUUUUGUUCCGGGAAGAUAAUGACGGUACCGGAAGAAUAAAGCCCCGGCUAACUUCGUGCCAGCAGCCGCGGU